GCGGCCGUAGCUCAAUGGUAGAGCUCCUGCCUUCCAAGCAGGUGACGUGGGUUCGAUUCCCAUCGGCCGCUCCA
RNAcentral lists this transfer RNA (74 nucleotides) under Armatimonadota bacterium. Its description in RNAcentral is "Armatimonadetes bacterium (sediment metagenome) tRNA-Gly". It matches the Rfam family "tRNA". From Rfam's summary of the family: Transfer RNA (tRNA) molecules are approximately 80 nucleotides in length. Their secondary structure includes four short double-helical elements and three loops (D, anti-codon, and T loops). RNAcentral also lists the same sequence under 1 other name. Lineage: Bacteria; Bacillati; Armatimonadota. The record is from RNAcentral.